RNAcentral lists this ribosomal RNA (354 nucleotides) under uncultured bacterium. RNAcentral's name for it is "bacterial SSU rRNA". It matches the Rfam family "Bacterial small subunit ribosomal RNA", at positions 8 to 350 of the family's 1533-position model. The record is from RNAcentral.
AGAGUUUGAUCAUGGCUCAGGAUGAACGCUAGCUACAGGCUUAACACAUGCAAGUCGAGGGGAAACGACAUCGAAAGCUUGCUUUUGAUGGGCGUCGACCGGCGCACGGGUGAGUAACGCGUAUCCAACCUGCCCAUCACUUGGGGAUAACCUUGCGAAAGUAAGACUAAUACCCAAUGACGUCUCUAGAAGACAUCUGAAAGAGAUUAAAGAUUUAUCGGUGAUGGGAUGGGGAUGCGUCUGAUUAGCUUGUUGGCGGGGUAACGGCCACCAAGGCGACGAUCGAGUAGGGGUUCUGAGAGGAAGGUCCCCCANAUUGGAACUGAGACACGGUCCAAACGUCUUACGGGAGCA